UGUUUUUUACUUGGUUUCAGGCAUGAAAAAGAAAAUAAUAAUAAUUUGUUAUAUAUGACAGGAGAUUUUAUUCAGCAGGAACUUAUUUUUUCAUGUGAAUCCAAGUGGGAAAAUGUUUUUCUUAUUUACAUGUCAAAACAAUCAUGUGCGAAGCAGAACAGUAGUUUUGUUUUUGUUUGUUUGUUUUUUUCAUGUAUGAAACCCAGUGAGAUAAAAACUAAGUUUCAGGAGAAAACUUGUGCUGUGACAGAAUGUCAGAAUGAAGCUUUUCCACAGCUGCAGCGCCCCCUGCAGGAGGACUGAACUCUGCUGCAGCUCAGAGAAAAGACGCACAAAAUAUUCUUUUCUCCUGCAAAAAGUGUUUUUCCUUCUUUGUUUUAAAUCUUGGUUUCACACAUGAAUAAAAAAAAUCCAGAAAAAAAUAAGUAAUUCACUUGUUGUCACAGAUGAAAAAAAAUGAAACAACUCCUGCUACACUUUCUCCCAGCAGGUCUCAGAUCAGAUGCAUAAAAGAUCACCAGCCCCUCGGGGCUUCCGUAGCAUUCCAUGGUAGCUCCAAAACUACAGGGUGCAGCAUAACCGCUAACUGCUGCUCGCUGUAUUCUGCUGUAGUGAUUAGCUGCUGUUCUGACCGUUGUCUCAGAAACAAAUGAAGUUAACGAGGACAUUAAAUUCCUCUUAGUUAGUGAACUGGCUGCGUCACAUCUCCAGCAUCUGAGCCACAGAGUGCUGUUAGGAAGCUAGCUGGUUAGCAUGCUAACUUCAGUAGCGCCGCCUGUGACAUCAUCACUGUUGUUUCGUCACUGUCAUCAUGACGUUGGCUCAGUUUGAAUAUUCACACUUCAUACAAGCAUUAAAUGACAGACUGCUCCUUUAACUCAGCAUGUGUUCGCUGGAGUGUCGUGACCUUUGACCUGCAGAGACUCAGAAUUCCUUGCAGCCUGCAGUCUCACCUGACUGGAGCUGUUGGCAGACAGCGCCGCCUGCUGGACUCUCCCUGACCUGCACCGUCUCCUCUGACUCCCCAAAAUAAUGAAAAGCGUGUUUCUGUGUCUCCAUCAGGUGACCAGCUGCUGCGUCACGACAAACACGCUCACAGGUGGAUGCGUGACGCGUCGCUUGACUUUGUCGUGGGCACGUAGCUGGCAGAUGACCACAGACUCAACCAGAUGUAUCGGACAGUUUUUAAGUUAAAAUAAUAAUAAUAAUUUCUCUUGCUGUUUUUCAGACCAUUCCAGGGUGACCUGAGCCAGGUGAGACAUGACGUCACUGCUCACCUGGAGAAUGAAUACAGCCCAUAAUAACCAGUCAGUGGAGUUAUUGAUGAUCGAUCAGACAGCUGAUCUACGUCCACAUGUGAUAUGAGUCACAGUGCUGUGAGGUAUCAGAAGUCCCGGAGGACCUGACCUGUAGCUGUCAGCUGGUUCCAGGUGAUUCAUGACGUGUUUCCUCUCCUGUGAACAUGUUUGUUCUGCUUUUUAAAUUUCCCUUCUACCAAAGCAGAUCAAUAAUAUAACAUUAUUUUAUACUUGCAAGUCAUACAUCAAUCUCAUAUUCUAAAAAGUGGAGGUAUAUUAAAACCUUGAAUUUGAAGCCUGUUUAACAUUUGUGUGAUUUAUGUCUUCUGACAGUGUUUGA
Acanthopagrus latus (yellowfin seabream) is the source of this 1638-nucleotide long non-coding RNA. RefSeq lists it as uncharacterized. The record is from RefSeq and is a predicted model, not a curated record. Lineage: Eukaryota; Metazoa; Chordata; Actinopteri; Spariformes; Sparidae. The transcript is spliced from 3 exons.